Molecule: unclassified non-coding RNA, 918 nt
Filed under: Hevea brasiliensis (rubber tree)
Lineage: Eukaryota; Viridiplantae; Streptophyta; Magnoliopsida; Malpighiales; Euphorbiaceae
Source: RNAcentral
CCUAAAUGUAAUACUUUGCAGAAAACAAAACUUUCUAUAUCCUAUUUGUUAGAAAUUACUAGCAGAAUAAUAAAAUUAUAAGGUAUAAGUGGUGGAAAAAAUGUCUACGCAGGAUUAUUUAACCAAAACAAUGAGUUUUUUUAUAGGAAUCUCCUCCUCCUCCUUAAGCUCUUUGAAGAAGCUCUAGAGACCAAAUAGCCCACCCCCACCCCAAGGCACAUCACCCAUAUCCCUACAUCUACUGCCCACCCAACUCCCUCCGCCGUAUCGGUGUCGUCCGAAUCGUCUUCUUCACCUUCACACUCCGAGCAGCAACAAGUAGACUCGUCAUUUUCAACUUCUCUUUGUUCAGGAAUCUCCUCCAGCUUCUGAAAACAGCUCCUCCGCCGUGAUCUCACCGUCAUCUCCACCUUCUCAGUAAUCACUUCCGGCGGCGCGGCGGUGCGUCCUUCCACCGCCACACACACCUCUGCUCCUUUCACUUUUAAAUCGUCGUUUUCCAACAAAGCGCACUUGCAAUCGAUUCUCCAGUUGUGUAGAUCUUUCAUGAAAAUACCUUUUAUGAGCUUUACAUCAGCCAUGAAUAUUUCAAAUUUUACUCCUUCACUGGCUUUAACUCUGUCCCUGCUUCCGUAAAUAACACCUUUCGUUGUUACAUUGUCAGCUGAUACUACCCGGUAAAGCGUAACGAAACCGGGGGAAUUGGAUCGGAUUUUGGAAUCAUUAAUCUCUAAUGGACUCUCACUAAUUCUAGGGAGAUAAUGCAGAGUUAGAGAAUCCGGUGAGACGGUUUCAGUCGGUGAUAAAUGGAGAUAAAAGCCUUUGAUUUUCAGGCGAUCUUUCUCGUUUGGUUGAAAUCCUUUACACAUUUUUGCUAGUUGAUUGGAAUGAAUUACUCGUGAGGAAAGGAAGGGAGGG